RNAcentral lists this transfer RNA (75 nucleotides) under Weeksella virosa. Its description in RNAcentral is "tRNA-Val(tac)". It matches the Rfam family "tRNA". From Rfam's summary of the family: Transfer RNA (tRNA) molecules are approximately 80 nucleotides in length. Their secondary structure includes four short double-helical elements and three loops (D, anti-codon, and T loops). RNAcentral also lists the same sequence under 2 other names. The record is from RNAcentral. Lineage: Bacteria; Pseudomonadati; Bacteroidota; Flavobacteriia; Flavobacteriales; Weeksellaceae.
GGGCGAAUAGCUCAGUUGGUUCAGAGCAUCUGCCUUACAAGCAGAGGGUCGGGGGUUCGAAUCCCUCUUCGCCCA